GUUUUUAGUUUGGUUUGAUUCAUCUUUAGUUUAAUUUCGUUGUUGUUAUUUGGGUGUUUUAUUUUUUAGUGUUGUUUUUCUGGAUGAAACAGGAGCAAGGGAGGCUGUUUGGCACCUUCAGAUCAUGCUUGGAAUCUUAACAAAUACCUCAGGACACUGAAGCCCUGGAUCUGAAGCCCACAUCCCCAAAGCACUACAGAGCAAUUUACCACAACACAUCUCACUGAAUAGCAAAGGUAAUCUCUCUUCAAAAGUCCAAAUUUCUAGGUGUCCAUGCCAUUUAUUUCCUUGAUUAGCUAAUUUUUUCCCAGUGGUUUGUGUAACAAAACAGUAUAAUUCAUGGCUGAAUCUCAAGGCUUUCAGGUCAGAUAAAGCCUCUAUUGCUUCUAUUCUGUUUGUAGUGAGAGCUGAUAAAUUGAACAGAAACAAGAAUUGAGCCUAACACUAAUAAAGGAGCACUUGAUAACACAAGCUCCAUCAAUGUGAGCGAUGUUUCCACUUAAGAUGAUGCAGCUGAGAUAGGAGAGAGACCCAAGCCUCAGUCUAAUUUUAUAUACUUGCUCACUUAAGUGACAUUCAUGGGGAUUAACAUAAACAGCCUAAUUUAUUUGUGUGACCAGAGUAUUAUAUGAUACAGACCAAUUUUCCCAUUUUUUCCUCUUGCUACUGCUGUACAUGGAUUUCUGCAACUGCCCAGUCAGUGCAAAGCACCAACUGCUAAGAGAAGAAAAGCUGUGCUCAUUCUUUCCCAUAGACUUCCAUGUUUAAAGAUCAAUUUUGUAUUAUAUUUUCCUCUACAGAUUUUCAUCUGUUCUGUCUUCAGUUUGAAAUGUUCUCAGCAGUGAACAUCUGUUAGAAAAUCUCUUACAAAACCCCACUUAGUCUAUGGCCCUUUAAUCAAAGAAGGGUGAAGGUAUUAAGAAUUUAAAAUAAUAUAUCCAAGUUUGAAAACAAAUACAUGUGUUUUCUAUUUGAGAAUGUGUGUUAUUACUUUCACAUUCUGACCUGUUAAGUACACAUGCUCUACCACAAGUCUCUCUGGAAUUUUGGCAAGAACCAGCAUUUAUUUAAUAAAAGGCCUUAUUAAUCGUAGGACUCUAUCGUUGAUACUUUGCAUUUACACAGCACAUUACAUUUUCAAAGUGCUCCAACAUUAAAUAAUUCCAGCAGCCUGUUUAUUUGCAUAGAUGGAUGCACACAAUUGUAGAGGAAAUUAUGAAAUGUGUUCACAUGUUUCUGUCUGAAAGGAGUUAUAAAAACUAAAUUCUUGAGCAAAUUGAAGAUAGUUCACUAUUUUUGGCACCACAUUGUGAGAGAAAGGCUCAAAGCACAGUAAAAUUAUUCCAGUAUGUUUGAUAAGGAUUUGAGAGUGGGAGUUCUCUCACCUGGCUUUACUUGCCUUUGAAGGAGAGUUUUCCAUUAGAGUUGUUCAUCCCAACCCCUUUAUAGUCCAAAGGAAAGGCUGAUGACAACCUCUAGAGAGGUCCCCUGUAGGAGAGCUGCUUCUCCCCUGGGACUUCUAACCAGCUCUAUCCCAUGGACACAGACCCAGGGAAGAGGAACAUGUAAUGCAGAUUAAUUCAGCUCAGUGUCUGCCCAUCUCUGGCCUAUUUAACUGGACAACAUGAACUAGAAAAAUGAAUGUAGCACUUAAAAGGACCAAAGGCAUUUUGUUGCCACUGGACAGCACCAGUAAAACACGCAUUGCAAAUUAUUCUGAGCCAAUCAUUGAUGCAGACUACUUACAAACAAGGAGUUCUUUGAUCCCAAGAUACAAAUGAGAUUUUAGAAGCCCAGAAACAUUAAGUGUCUUAUAUGUGUCCAGGUAUCUUACAUCAGUAGUUCUAACAUUUGGAAAUUCUUUCCUUAUUUUGAUAUGAAAAUACUUCCCUUCACAAGCAGACAAGCAAGGCCAGAUCCUGGGUCAACAUAAGAGACAACCUUUAGAGCUGCUACGUUAUUUUUGAUUAAGACUAGGGAAUCCCACCUGCAGCUGACUGAAUUUGAGAUGGUAUCUUCUUAUUCUAUAGGAGAAAACCAAGAUUUAAAAAAAACACACAACCAAAAAAACGCCUAUGUAACUUUAGACCCCAUCAGAGUUCCAGUGAAAUUAAUUGGAAAACUAUAAUACUUAUUUGGUUUGGGCAGCACAGCCACACAAAAAUAGCUUAAACAAAACUCAGCUUAUACACUUAUAUCAGAGAAAUUUAAAAAAAGCAAGCUUAUGUCUAAUCAGAAAAUCACUAGUGGAUUAUUUUAGUGAAAAUAAAAUCCAGAGAAUACCCAAAACAAUCUCCUCAAAAUUUGCUGCCAGAGGUUUUUGGUAGAGGACAGCUCCUAUUUGAGUGCUGCCUACCUGCAAGGGCUACCUGGUGGGAGCAGGGUGCUGCUUGAAGCUGCUGCCCAGCUGUGCAAUGAUUUGCCUGGGCAAACGCUCACAUGCCAUCACAGCAGCUGGCUGCCAAACCCACAAAUCCAGCUUUCUCCACAGUGGUUAAUACCACAUGCCAUGGCUAUGAGCAGGAUUCUGUGCUGCACGAGGGAGUGCAGGGCUGGGGGAAGAGGUGUUACACAGCUCUGCUGUUGGCAGUUCUGCUGACGCACAUGACAGCAUUAGCAAGAAGUUGAAACAUGAACAUGUGUGGGAUGACUCUCCUUUUUAUUAUUAACCCAUGUCCAACAGUGGGGAAUAGGGAGAAUGCUUUUCCCAGGUUGAGAAGAUCAUCUCUUGAGCAUUUGCGUCAACACUUGUGCUUGAUUACCCUGGGGACAGAAAACAACUCUAGGAGCUGUGCUGGGGGGGCUGCAUUUGCACUCUUUCCUGGCUAAAAACCCAAAUCAUGCCAACCAAAAUAGCCAGGGGACUCUUCCUGCUCUUGGGCAGGUAUUUGAAAACAUGGAAGAACUGUCUAUUCCAUGGUUCUUUGCUGUCCCUUAAUUUUCAUCUUCCCUUUUCAUCCUCCUCUGCACACUUCAAAGGUCCUCUGUCUCCUUUUGGAGAAAGGAGGAGACACACAUACUGUCUCAAGAUGUAGGUGAGCCCGAGAUGUCUCUCGUCUUUCCUAACCAUUACUCACCCAUCUCCCACACACAAGACUAUUUCAUUUAUCUGCACCACAUUUUGUCUGUCAUUUUAUCGCCUGGCACUCAGCAGCUGUUGGGUAAUUACAACACGGACACACCACAUGUAUCUUGUCAUUCGAAAACAACCCCCAAAAACCCCACAUAGUGGAGUGAAACCCCAACCAAACCACACCCAAACUCUUCACAACACAUGUUCAGCUUCAACUUCAACGAAAGCUCCCUGGAGAGCUCUGAGCAGAUGUGUCCUGCAAGCUUGUCCUGGUUUUAUACAAACUGCUUAAUCAAACAUCCCACCACACCUUUCAAGUUACUUUGACAGCUGUAUCUUAAGGAGUUGGAGGAAGGCUGGUUUAGGAAGAGAACAGGAAGGGCCAAGAUAGACCAGGCCCAUGCAUUUCAGAGAGGUACUUUACAAAAACCACAUGGGAUUAUUAUUUGGGAUGUUAAAAGUUGUCUACACAGGAGUUAACUCUGGGAUGAACAAUUAUCACGAGGAUUCAGCAAGUUGAUGGCACAUCUCACUUUCUUCAAAGUCCACAACUGGAUUAUGUCCAACCAGUUCAUUCUCCAAGAAGUUAAAGUCUCUCUCCCUUUCUAAUUUCCAAGAAAAGCACACUCAUUUUUCACUCAUACCACACCACUUCUCCCCUUCACACUGCAGGAUUACAGUGGUUUACAGCAUAGAGAGUUUUCUAACUUCCAUUUUUCAGUUUAUCAUCACAAGAUCUAAAAGCAGCUUGCUUUCUAUGUAAAUCCACAGGCCACCUCAUUUCUCAGUGUGGACAUGAAAGUGCACUUCAGAGCAACAACAUUCCUGUUCCAAAACCUAGCACAGGAAUAUUAGCAGAAGAGUUAAAACCACACAGUUGGAUCAUGUCCUCAAUAGGAAACAGAGUCCUGAGUAAAUAAACACACAUCUCAAAGUGUUUCUACUUUAUUCUUUAAAAAAAACCCCAAAACUAAGCAUGGCCCCCAAAACCCCCACAAAACAAUUUUCCAGAUUCUCAAAUCUUUAAAUAAUUAACACUACCCUGAUGUCUUGGUGAUAUGCAUAAUGAAGAGAAGUCUGAGAGCUUCCCCACUCCCAGGGUGCUACUGCAGUGUUGCCAUGAAAAGCACAGCACCAAAGGAAGCUCUGUCACAUGAAGAUUUACAGUUACAAUACAAGAUUUACAAUUUGACCCCAAAGCCAAAUCAUCAUAGUUUUCUCUUUUAUGGAGACAUGAUAGGAUGUUGUAUAUACCAAAACCUCCCUAAUUACUGUGGUUUGCUUUUGAAUAUUAAUCAGGAAAAUAUACAAGUCCAUGAAAUCUAAAUGGUAAACAACAUGCAAAAGGGGGAAAAAAAUGAAAAUGGGAAAAGCACUCAUACUCUUGCUCUUAUUUGUGUAUGUAAGAACCUCCUCCUGGGACUAGAGCCUGGUAAAAUUCCAUGUUUACACUGCUUAUGAAAUUCAAGGAUAGAGAGAACAUAUGAUUGGACAGAUUCCUUUAAAGUUUUUAUUACUUUGAGUCCAGGUCUGGUAGAAUUAUGAAGAUCUUCCCAAGCAGAAUCAAUAAAGGCUUUACAGCAUCCUGGAUAGUUGGAAAGUUUGUUUUUAUCUUCUUCCUAGCUUUGUUCUGCUUCUCCCCCUUUGAAGUUCGCUGCAGAAUAGAAACAUUUUGGCGUUUGAUGGUACUAGUCAAAAAGUUUCUGCUGCACACUGGUAAUCCAGUAACCCUUUUAGAAAAGAGGGCUGUACAUAAACUAAGGAUAACUAUUAGAGCAGCCAUUGAUCCCUCUGUCAUGUCUGCAGGGGGAAAUCACUGCUACUGACAAGCUGCAGGAGAUAAAAUUGGUUUGGACUAUGGUGAGGGAAUCUGUCAAUACAGCUGCAGAAGCACAGCCCUUCAUAGCACCAGCCAUUUCUCCUGUGCAAACCAGCAGGGCCAUCAAAAGCAGCUGAAUAUUAAGCUUCAACCUACAGAAAACAUAGAGCACAGGAGGUGUGGAGCCCCCAAAUAAUACGUGACCACCUGUUCCUUGGGCAGACUCAUCGCGCAUCCCGCUCAUUCCAGCGCGCUCACAGGAAUAUAUUGUUUCACUGCCAUAUGUACCAGCCAUAAAUCACAGCCAGAGCCUUUUAGUUAGUGUUGUUAGCACUGCAUUUACAUCUGCAAACCACAGAAACUGUUGUGGUGCUAGCAGCACACAGUUCCCUCACAUGCUUCCAAAAACAAAAGUGGGUUUAAACAAGUAACAUAACCUAAUGGGCAGAGUCGAGCCCAGAGCCUGAAUUCCUCCUCUUGCUUGUGGAUCCUCUGCUUGUAUUUAAAGACCUCCCAGGUUAUGAAGCUGUCCCAUGAAGAGGCUGGAGAAUGACAGCUGCAAACCUCAUGCUGCCCAUCAAACCCAGCACAGAGUUCAAGAGCCCACAAGAAGAACUUUGCUUAUUUUUAUUUCAACAAACAAUAUUUUUCUCCUGGGUUUAUUCUCCCAACUCCUCCUCUCCGUGUAUGUGUAAUUGACUCUUUGCUACUCUGGAAAACUGCUGCUAAGACCACGAACCAUGGAUUAUAUUACAAACACUUUAAAUAUCUUCUAAAGCAAAGAACAGUCAUGACCGCUCAUUUCAUUCUUAAAAACUCAUUCUGAUGUUCAGCACCAGGAGAUGCAUUAAUGAAAAGGAAGUAUCACUGGACUCACAGAAGACAAAUUGUUUCCUCUCCAACACUUAAGGAAUGACAGCUCACUCCUCAGCUAUGAGUGUCCUCAGGAGAGAGUGGCUUCAGCAGCAGGGGGGUCUGCAAGGUCUGCCUUGGCAGCCACGGCAGCUGUGCCAAUGCCUUCCUCUCCAGCUCAAACCCUGGCUCCGUGCUAGGCAUCCUCAAAAACCAGCAACAAAUAGGGAGGAGAGAACUGCUGAUCUCCUCUAGUGGUUUUUCCAGAACAAAACAAUGUUUUCAGAGAAGACAAGAAAUCCAACAGCUUUGGGAAGUGAGCACACCAGUACCACCAAGGGAAAUCCAUUGCUCUCUUUGGAAAGCUGGGAGCUUACAGCCCUGACAGGCAAAUUCUAUCCUUAUUGCAAGCAUUUGUAUUUUUCAGAACUCCAGGGUUACCCUGCCCCCAUCACACACAAAAACUGUGGCAAGCACUGCACAAAUACAGUCCCAAAGGUAACCCAUUGCCCAAAAAGCUCUCAAUUCAUAAAGUAACAGCCCAACCAAACCAAGAGAAAAGUACAAAACCUCCUAAUGAUCAAUGUAGUAAAUGUGUCCUAUUAGCCAAGCCUUCCUUUAUUUUUUAAAAACCUUGAGAGAUUUACAAGUGGGACUCAGGACAGGAAGGAUAAGAUGGUUUUGCAGAUGCCUACAUGCAGCUGCUCCCAAGCAUGAAGGUGCUUGUUUGAAAUAAAUGUGAGAAUUGAGCAAUAGAAGCACUGGCACCAGCUCUGUGUUAUUUUUGAUGAAGAUAAUUUGUUUUCCUAUGCAGUUGCAACACAAACUGAGGUAAUGCUAAAUGUAUGUUUACUCCAUGAGAUUAUUUUAGAACUCUGCAUCUGAAAGUUUAACAUAAACUUCUUUCUAAAUAUAAGUAGAAAUAAUCUUUUACAAAUGCUGACAAUCAGUUGAAACCUCAUGUGGGAUUCUGUGUUAAGAAACCAACAGAACAAAAAAACCCUUGAAGACUGCAGAGUACUUUACACACAAUCUUCUUUAAAAAGCAUUCAGUACAAGGCCACAGGAGAGCUCACCUUCAGGGAUAUUGGAGGAAUACCAGUGAUUACUAAGCACUCCUUUGGAACAUCAGAAUUAAAUAAUAAAAAUCCCCUACAAUUAUAAUUGUAUCUACAUAAACAUAGAAGGUCAAGAAGGUGCAUCCCAUUAAGAGGAGCUGUGCUGGUCAGAAAUGCAUCUUACUCCUCCAAAAAAGUCAAUGGCAGUUUGGCAGCUGAUCUGCUUAUGACUUGGAAAGCCUUCUACUAAGAUAAAGCAAAUGUCUAAUUUGACAGAAUUGCCAAAACUGUUCUUAUCUGUUUUUACUAAUUCUUAAGCUAAUGGUUUACAAAUGUCUGCUCAUUAGCAGUGCCCAAAAAAGCACACUACAUGCAGCUUUUUUUUAAAGUCAUACAAUACAAAAGUCAUAACAGAAGGAAAAAGAAAGGAAAAAAACUUCUUGUAAAAUAAAGAAGCAUGAGAUAUUUCAGGCAAAAAAACAUGUGGAACUAAGUUAAGUAAUUCAGGAGAGAAAUCUGCACAGCAGAUAUUGAAUUUAUUACUCAUAAAGGAGAGCUAACCAAAAUUCUAAUUGAAAAGCCCACUUCUCUAUUAUUUCAAACCAUGACAAGGCAAUGCAAAAAAUGGAAAUAUUAAUUUCCAAAUUUUUUUCCUGGUAGUUCACUGGAGUUCUCGAAAGAUCACCAAGUAUGCAGCACAAAAGUUUCAUUAGCACUUGGGAAAACAUUCUUGUAAGGUAAAACUCUCCAAGCUUCAAUGUGUCAGCACCACAGGGUGGGUGCACCCACCACAGCUCGGGAGCAGGGGUGCAAAAUAAACAAACAGUUACUAUAUGCAAAUACUUACACUAAAAAAAAAAAAAAAAAAAAAAAAAAA
Taeniopygia guttata (zebra finch) is the source of this 7679-nucleotide long non-coding RNA. The record is from Ensembl. NCBI's taxonomy places the organism in Eukaryota, Metazoa, Chordata, Aves, Passeriformes, Estrildidae.